CAUGAGGAUUCUUUGUGCUCUGCUUCUGCUAUUGUUGAUUCAAAGGGACACAUUUGCACAGACAAUAACACCACUGGAGAACAAGGCAAUUGCGUAUGAGGGAGAAAAAUUCACUCUUUCCUGUAAAUGUGAAGGAGCUGUACAGAACCUACAAUGGUACCGCCAUUAUCCGAGAUCCACACCUGAAUUCCUGGUUUGGAUUUAUCUACAGGGAAGCACAAGUGACCCUGUUCCCCGUCUUCUACCAAAAGUUGAUAAAGGCAACAAUCUUGUGCAUCUGGAGAUCUUUCCUGCUGAAGUAAAAGACUCUGCACUGUACUACUGCGCACUGACGCCCACAAUGACAGAAAUCUCAUCUACACUGUACAAAAACCUCAUGAGCAAUAAAACUCCUCAUACAAGUUUAUGGAAACACCCAAACCCCCUUCUUCAAGUUCUUUUUCUUUAG
Non-coding RNA from Myxocyprinus asiaticus (Chinese sucker), 448 nucleotides. NCBI's taxonomy places the organism in Eukaryota, Metazoa, Chordata, Actinopteri, Cypriniformes, Catostomidae. The record is from the annotation of a RefSeq genome assembly.